GUUCGUAGUGACUGCGGAGGAUCAUUA
RNAcentral lists this ribosomal RNA (27 nucleotides) under Stereocaulon verruculigerum. Its description in RNAcentral is "partial 18S ribosomal RNA". Lineage: Eukaryota; Fungi; Ascomycota; Lecanoromycetes; Lecanorales; Stereocaulaceae. RNAcentral also lists the same sequence under 2 other names. The record is from RNAcentral.